AUGACGACAGGAGGACCUCGCACUCACUCAGCUUUAGCAUUGUGGGUCGGUUGAGGACAAAUGCGUGAUGAAGACUAGACGUUCACUGUGGGAUCAGAAAUCAGAAGUGUUUCUGAAUGUUUUGCUUUCAAAAGCAGAAGGAAGAGAUUCACCUGGAGACGUGCUGCAUCACAGACAUGAAUGACGUCAUCAAAGAUGGGAUGCAUCGCCCCGUGGUGUAUGGUAUAGUGUGUUUCAGAUCUGCAGGAUGAAUUGGCUCUGCUCAUUGAUUUCUCGUCUGGUCAGUAUUUGUCCACGUCUCCACAUGCAGAGCCUCCUCACUUCGUCCAUCACAUCAAAUCCACCAUCCAGUUUCUGCUGGAUCAUCCGACCGCAGACGGGCUGUUUCCAGGCGGUCAGCCGCAACUGUAGCCCCGCGCUGAGGACGGCCGCUGGAAGAGAGCCUAAACGCUGACCUCUGACCUCUGUGACCCACUGUAACCCAACUAAAGGCCUUUGACGUCUGCUGUUUAAAGUAGAAGCUCCUUUACACUGAUUUCAACUGAAACAGGCCGAUUGAAGCUCAGAUUGACUGUUUAAAGGGCCACUUCUACUUGAUGGUUUUACUAACACGUGUGUCAUUAACCGCACCUGCUGGCCCUUACAUACAAACAAGAGUCUAUGGACUAUUUGUUUUCAUUUUUAUUUCAUAUUUGUUAUGUAUGUCAAUGCAAAUGUGUUCAUGGAUCAUAAGACGUGUCCUUUAUUUUAAACUAAUAUAAUAUGAUGUUGUUUUCUUCCUAACAUCUAGCUGCGUCUUAUUUGCUCACUAAACUGUAAAUACAGUAUGUUGUGAUCCUUUGAGGAGGAGUAAAAGAAUUACAAUUCUGUUGCCGUGGAAACAUGGUGUUUUGUUUAUUUAAACCUUUGUAUGAUCAUAACAGUGAAUGGAAACUUUAAAUAUAUUCCUCUUUAGACUGUGUUGUCUUAACGAGGAUCUGCUGAUU
Long non-coding RNA from Sinocyclocheilus anshuiensis, 986 nucleotides. RefSeq lists it as uncharacterized. The record is from RefSeq and is a predicted model, not a curated record. Lineage: Eukaryota; Metazoa; Chordata; Actinopteri; Cypriniformes; Cyprinidae. The transcript is spliced from 3 exons.